UCCCCAUCUGACAACCCUAAACAGGUACUGUAGUCUCCCCAUCUGACAACCCUAAACAGGUACUGUAGUCUCCCCAUCUGACAACCCUAAACAGGUACUGUAGUCUCCCCAUCUGACAACCCUAACAGGUACUGUAGUCUCCCCAUCUGACAACCCUAACAGGUACUGUAGUCUCCCCAUCUGACAACCCUAAACAGGUACUGUAGUCUCCCCAUCUGACAACCCUAACAGGUACUGUAGUCUCCCCAUCUGACAACCCUAACAGGUACUGUAGUCUCCCCAUCUGACAACCCUAAACAGGUACUGUAGGCUCCCCAUCUGACAACCCUAAACAGGUACUGUAGUCUCCCCAUCUGACAACCCUAACAGGUACUGUAGGCUCCCCAUCUGACAACCCUAAACAGGUACUGUAGUCUCCCCAUCUGACAACCCUAACAGGUACUGUAGUCUCCCCAUCUGACAACCCUAAACAGGUACUGUAGUCUCCCCAUCUGACAACCCUAAACAGGUACUGUAGUCUCCCCAUCUGACAACCCUAAACAGGUACUGUAGUCUCCCCAUCUGACAACCCUAAACAGGUACUGUAGUCUCCCCAUCUGACAACCCUAAACAGGUACUGUAGUCUCCCCAUCUGACAACCCUAACAGGUACUGUAGUCUCCCCAUCUGACAACCCUAACAGGUACUGUAGUCUCCCCAUCUGACAACCCUAACAGGUACUGUAGUCUCCCCAUCUGACAACCCUAACAGGUACUGUAGUCUCCCCAUCUGACAACCCUAAACAGGUACUGUAGUCUCCCCAUCUGACAACCCUAACAGGUACUGUAGUCUCCCCAUCUGACAACCCUAACAGGUACUGUAGUCUCCCCAUCUGACAACCCUAAACAGGUACUGUAGGCUCCCCAUCUGACAACCCUAAACAGGUACUGUAGUCUCCCCAUCUGACAACCCUAACAGGUACUGUAGGCUCCCCAUCUGACAACCCUAAACAGGUACUGUAGUCUCCCCAUCUGACAACCCUAACAGGUACUGUAGUCUCCCCAUCUGACAACCCUAAACAGGUACUGUAGUCUCCCCAUCUGACAACCCUAAACAGGUACUGUAGUCUCCCCAUCUGACAACCCUAAACAGGUACUGUAGUCUCCCCAUCUGACAACCCUAAACAGGUACUGUAGUCUCCCCAUCUGACAACCCUAAACAGGUACUGUAGUCUCCCCAUCUGACAACCCUAAACAGGUACUGUAGUCUCCCCAUCUGACAACCCUAAACAGGUACUGUAGUCUCCCCAUCUGACAACCCUAACAGGUACUGUAGUCUCCCCAUCUGACAACCCUAACAGGUACUGUAGUCUCCCCAUCUGACAACCCUAACAGGUACUGUAGUCUCCCCAUCUGACAACCCUAAACAGGUACUGUAGUCUCCCCAUCUGACAACCCUAAACAGGUACUGUAGUCUCCCCAUCUGACAACCCUAAACAGGUACUGUAGUCUCCCCAUCUGACAACCCUAAACAGGUACUGUAGUCUCCCCAUCUGACAACCCUAAACAGGUACUGUAGGCUCCCCAUCUGACAACCCUAAACAGGUACUGUAGUCUCCCCAUCUGACAACCCUAAACAGGUACUGUAGUCUCCCCAUCUGACAACCCUAAACAGGUACUGUAGUCUCCCCAUCUGACAACCCUAAACAGGUACUGUAGUCUCCCCAUCUGACAACCCUAAACAGGUACUGUAGUCUCCCCAUCUGACAACCCUAAACAGGUACUGUAGUCUCCCCAUCUGACAACCCUAAACAGGUACUGUAGUCUCCCCAUCUGACAACCCUAAACAGGUACUGUAGUCUCCCCAUCUGACAACCCUAAACAGGUACUGUAGUCUCCCCAUCUGACAACCCUAAACAGGUACUGUAGUCUCCCCAUCUGACAACCCUAAACAGGUACUGUAGUCUCCCCAUCUGACAACCCUAAACAGGUACUGUAGUCUCCCCAUCUGACAACCCUAAACAGGUACUGUAGUCUCCCCAUCUGACAACCCUAAACAGGUACUGUAGUCUCCCCAUCUGACAACCCUAAACAGGUACUGUAGUCUCCCCAUCUGACAACCCUAACAGGUACUGUAGACUCCCCUAAACAGGUACUGUAGUCUCCCCAUCUGACAACCCUAAACAGGCUCCCCAUCUGACAACCCUAACAGGUACUGUAGUCUCCCCAUCUGACAACCCUAAACAGGUACUGUAGACUCCCCAUCUGACAACCCUAAACAGGUACUGUAGUCUCCCCAUCUGACAACCCUAAACAGGUACUGUAGUCUCCCCAUCUGACAACCCUAAACAGGUACUGUAGUCUCCCCAUCUGACAACCCUAAACAGGUACUGUAGUCUCCCCAUCUGACAACCCUAAACAGGUACUGUAGUCUCCCCAUCUGACAACCCUAAACAGGUACUGUAGUCUCCCCAUCUGACAACCCUAAACAGGCCCCCCAUCUGACAACCCUAACAGGCUCCCCAUCUGACAACCCUAACAGGCUCCCCAUCUGACAACCCUAAACAGGCUCCCCAUCUGACAACCCUAACAGGUACUGUAGUCUCCCCAUCUGACAACCCUAAACAGGUACUGUAGUCUCCCCAUCUGACAACCCUAAACAGGUACUGUAGACUCCCCUAAACAGGUACUGUAGUCUCCCCAUCUGACAACCCUAAACAGGCUCCCCAUCUGACAACCCUAACAGGUACUGUAGUCUCCCCAUCUGACAACCCUAAACAGGUACUGUAGACUCCCCAUCUGACAACCCUAAACAGGUACUGUAGGCUCCCCAUCUGACAACCCUAAACAGGUACUGUAGUCUCCCCAUCUGACAACCCUAAACAGGCUCCCCAUCUGACAACCCUAACAGGUACUGUAGGCUCCCCAUCUGACAACCCUAAACAGGUACUGUAGACUCCCCAUCUGACAACCCUAAACAGGUACUGUAGGCUCCCCAUCUGACAACCCUAAACAGGUACUGUAGACUCCCCAUCUGACAACCCUAAACAGGUACUGUAGUCUCCCCAUCUGACAACCCUAACAGGUACUGUAGUCUCCCCAUCUGACAACCCUAACAGGUACUGUAGUCUCCCCAUCUGACAACCCUAACAGGUACUGUAGUCUCCCCAUCUGACAACCCUAACAGGUACUGUAGUCUCCCCAUCUGACAACCCUAACAGGUACUGUAGGCCCCCCAUCUGACAACCCUAACAGGUACUGUAGUCUCCCCAUCUGACAACCCUAACAGGUACUGUAGUCUCCCCAUCUGACAACCCUAACAGGUACUGUAGUCUCCCCAUCUGACAACCCUAACAGGUACUGUAGUCUCCCCAUCUGACAACCCUAACAGGUACUGUAGUCUCCCCAUCUGACAACCCUAAACAGGUAAUGUAGUCUCCCCAUCUGACAACCCUAACAGGUACUGUAGACUCCCCAUCUGACAACCCUAAACAGGUACUGUAGUCUCCCCAUCUGACAACCCUAAACAGGUACUGUAGGCUCCCCAUCUGACAACCCUAACAGGUACUGUAGUCUCCCCAUCUGACAACCCUAAACAGGUACUGUAGUCUCCCCAUCUGACAACCCUAACAGGUACUGUAGUCUCCCCAUCUGACAACCCUAACAGGUACUGUAGUCUCCCCAUCUGACAACCCUAACAGGUACUGUAGUCUCCCCAUCUGACAACCCUAACAGGUACUGUAGGCUCCCCAUCUGACAACCCUAACAGGUACUGUAGUCUCCCCAUCUGACAACCCUAAACAGGUAAUGUAGUCUCCCCAUCUGACAACCCUAACAGGUACUGUAGACUCCCCAUCUGACAACCCUAAACAGGUACUGUAGUCUCCCCAUCUGACAACCCUAAACAGGUACUGUAGGCUCCCCAUCUGACAACCCUAACAGGUACUGUAGUCUCCCCAUCUGACAACCCUAAACAGGUACUGUAGUCUCCCCAUCUGACAACCCUAACAGGUACUGUAGUCUCCCCAUCUGACAACCCUAAACAGGUACUGUAGUCUCCCCAUCUGACAACCCUAACAGGUACUGUAGUCUCCCCAUCUGACAACCCUAAACAGGUACUGUAGGCUCCCCAUCUGACAACCCUAAACAGGUACUGUAGGCUCCCCAUUUGGGGUGAGUUUCCCAAUAACUAUUCAAACACAAAAGAAACACACAAAGAUAAUGUUUAGCAAUAGUAGCCUUCAGUCCGUUGGGAGACAGUGGACGAAUGAUGAUCAUAGUUUAAAGUCACUAAGGUCUAAUAAUCCCUGGAAUGUGACCGUUGCAAGCCGCCAUGUCUUCUUGUUCCUCUU
Molecule: long non-coding RNA, 4329 nt
Organism: Salvelinus fontinalis (brook trout)
Lineage: Eukaryota; Metazoa; Chordata; Actinopteri; Salmoniformes; Salmonidae
Exons: 5
Source: RefSeq, a predicted model, not a curated record